GCCGAAGUGGUGGAAUCUGGCAGACACGCUGUCUUGAGGGGGCAGUGGGUAACACCCGUGCGGGUUCAAGUCCCGCCUUCGGCACCA
Molecule: transfer RNA, 87 nt
Filed under: Desulfobacterales bacterium
Lineage: Bacteria; Pseudomonadati; Thermodesulfobacteriota; Desulfobacteria; Desulfobacterales
Description: tRNA-Leu
Rfam family: tRNA
About the family: Transfer RNA (tRNA) molecules are approximately 80 nucleotides in length.
Source: RNAcentral